GGGGAUUUGGCUCAGUGGUAGAGCGCCUGCCUAGGAAGCACAAGGUCCUGGGCUCAAUCCCCAGCCCCG
Molecule: non-coding RNA, 69 nt
Organism: Rattus norvegicus (Norway rat)
Lineage: Eukaryota; Metazoa; Chordata; Mammalia; Rodentia; Muridae
Source: Rfam